This 301-nucleotide ribosomal RNA is filed under the name uncultured bacterium. Its description in RNAcentral is "partial 16S ribosomal RNA". It matches the Rfam family "Bacterial small subunit ribosomal RNA", at positions 509 to 809 of the family's 1533-position model. The record is from RNAcentral.
CAGCAGCCGCGGUAAUACGUAGGGUGCAAGCGUUAAUCGGAAUUACUGGGCGUAAAGCGUGCGCAGGCGGUUAUAUAAGACAGAUGUGAAAUCCCCGGGCUCAACCUGGGAACUGCAUUUGUGACUGUAUAGCUAGAGUACGGCAGAGGGGGAUGGAAUUCCGCGUGUAGCAGUGAAAUGCGUAGAUAUGCGGAGGAACACCGAUGGCGAAGGCAAUCCCCUGGGCCUGUACUGACGCUCAUGCACGAAAGCGUGGGGAGCAAACAGGAUUAGAUACCCCGGUAGUCCCUGUCUUUAUACA